Molecule: long non-coding RNA, 542 nt
Filed under: Cricetulus griseus (Chinese hamster)
Lineage: Eukaryota; Metazoa; Chordata; Mammalia; Rodentia; Cricetidae
Description: lncRNA (ENSCGRG00015032775.1)
Source: RNAcentral
CAUUCAUUCUCGCACUCUCGCCUGCCCUCUCCUGCUCCCAGCCGUGACUCACCCCGGGCCCGAGGUUCCUGCGGGCACCCGCGGACUCCGGCGACUCCCGCGGCCGUGUCUCUUCCCGGCGUCCAGCCGAGCUCGAAAAACCGGUGCGACUUCUUCGGGAGGCGAUUGCAGCCGACCCUCCCCUCUGCGGCCCUAGAAGAUGCAGCGAAGGAGGGGCUUGGCAGGCAGCGCGAGGUGGCUCCCGGCCGCAGGCUGAGCGCAGAGCACGGCAGACCUCCCCGAACGCGGGCGGGGAUCAAUCUGGGAAAGUUCUCUGGGUGCCGCUCCCAGCAACUUUCAGGGGUGGGGCCCGGGAAGGGAUAAGCCACCUCCGCACCUCCUCCGGUUUCGGAAACUGCUUCCCGACUACGUCGUGUGCGGGCCGGGGGGCACCCGCGCUGACUCAAGGGGUGGUGCCCCGCCUAGGUCAAGUGGGUGGGUUUCCAAACAUCACAAGACCGCUUGGCGAGGUGAAUUGCGUUUUGGCAAGUAUGAGAAACCGG